Molecule: transfer RNA, 178 nt
Filed under: Marmota monax (woodchuck)
Lineage: Eukaryota; Metazoa; Chordata; Mammalia; Rodentia; Sciuridae
Description: tRNA.Leu
Source: RNAcentral
UGGGAUGUGGCUCAGUGGUAAAGCGCUCUGGGUUCAAAUCCCUAACCCAUGACCACUAGAUCAACAAUGUUCAGCAUAAGGCUGGUACUGUCUACUUUAACUAGGGGACAGACUAGCUUAAUGAUAGGGUACUUGCCUAGUAUGCAUGAAGCCCUGGGUUCCAUCCCCAGCACCCCAA